This 313-nucleotide long non-coding RNA is filed under the name Gallus gallus (chicken). Lineage: Eukaryota; Metazoa; Chordata; Aves; Galliformes; Phasianidae. The record is from RNAcentral.
CAGCGUCAGAAUCUGCCUGGGCACUCCAAGCUGCUCCUGAGGCACAGGCAGGGAGCAAGCAGUUGUUCUUCCCUGGGAAGAGCUGAUGGAGAUGGCCUCACCUCUGGAGAAUGUAUUCCUGCAUUUCAGAGCCAGAGCCGAGCACCCCUGAUACGCAGCCACCCACUGCUGGAAGCCCCCCAGGAUGGGGCUCAGGCUUGCUGUUUGCUCCCCGUGUGCAGGAUGUUCAGGCCUCUUCCAGCUGUUGGGAGCCCAGGAUGCUCUAGGCUUUGCUGUAACCUUGGCAUUACCACCUCUGGAAAUCUAGCACUUG